Molecule: long non-coding RNA, 880 nt
Organism: Meriones unguiculatus (Mongolian gerbil)
Lineage: Eukaryota; Metazoa; Chordata; Mammalia; Rodentia; Muridae
Exons: 3
Source: RefSeq, a predicted model, not a curated record
CUCUCUAGUGAGUUUCUGCAUUUCUGAGAGCCUUAAGCACCUUCUAAAGAAGAACUAGAUCUGGUUCAAGAAAAAGAAAAUGCAGCCAAAUCCUGGGAUUAAAACCUGCGCUUGCUCAUGCCCAGAACAGUGCUGGAUGCAGCCUGCUGUGCCCAGGAAGACAGCCAGCACCAGGUCACCAGCCCUGUGGAGAAUGACAGCUUUCAAGUCAGAAUGAGAGCUCCCCACAGAAAAUACAUCCAAGGAAAUCAAAGUUCCAAGAACUUGAAUUCAUGUCUGUCAGCUCUGGCAUUUCCAACCUGAAUGAACUUGUGCAGCCACCCAAAACUGAUCAUCUCAGCAGAGGCGCAACCAGGAGAGGCUCAGCUUUACUUUUAACAGCUCCUGGAAGAGUGAAGAGAGUCAGCAGCAGCACGAACGUGUGAAGGGGCUUGUGGCCCUGGCAGGUUUUGGUAGAUACUGCCUUGGAGGGAGGGGGUCUGGGCGUGUCUCUUGGGGUGGCAAUGCUACCACAAAGAUUGCAGGAGCCAGAAGCAGCGAGCGCACAGCACGUCAAACCCUCUGCCUCCCAUCUAGCACUACGCAAAGUCACUGCGUGGUGCUCCAAAGUUUUAAAUUCCCUCGCUGCAUAAGCGGCUUCACAGAAAAGGAAUCUACAGAGUUUCCUCUGGGUGUUUCCCAGUGUGACUCAUGAGCACUCUGCCCUCCUCCCAGGUGGGAAGGACCCGGAGUGGAUAACAUGUGAUUAAAUUCUGUGUCAACGAAAGGUGAAAUUGUGUUUAUUAGACAAUUUCAUUUCCAAAUGAAACCCGCGAAAUGGUCUCUUCCUCUUACUCGAGUGAAAUAAGACAUGGCAGAAACUAAACAGUAUUUUCGCUUU